This is a long non-coding RNA of Lingula anatina, 200 nucleotides long. NCBI's taxonomy places the organism in Eukaryota, Metazoa, Brachiopoda, Lingulata, Lingulida, Lingulidae. The record is from RefSeq and is a predicted model, not a curated record.
AACAACGGACCAGAAUCAGGAGGAAUGUGUCACCACCACCGACGUUAACCAAGAAAAUCCGAAUGCUGCCACUCAUUGGAGCCCGUGUCACUGGUUUUCCUGGCACAGAAAAUUUAUACAGUCUUCCACCAAAGUGACCACUGUCCUGAGCCUUCUUCCUGGACAUUGAGGGGCUGUCCUGGAGUCCUGGAGAUUCUCGG